UGGGGAAUCUUAGACAAUGGGCGCAAGCCUGAUCUAGCCAUGCCGCGUGAGUGAUGAAGGCCCUAGGGUCGUAAAGCUCUUUCGCCAGGGAUGAUAAUGACAGUACCUGGUAAAGAAACCCCGGCUAACUCCGUGCCAGCAGCCGCGGUAAUACGGAGGGGGUUAGCGUUGUUCGGAAUUACUGGGCGUAAAGCGCGCGUAGGCGGGCUGUUAAGUUAGAGGUGAAAUCCCGGGGCUCAACCCCGGAACUGCCUUUAAUACUGGCAGCCUAGAGUUCGAGAGAGGUGAGUGGAAUUCCGAGUGUAGAGGUGAAAUUCGUAGAUAUUCGGAGGAACACCAGUGGCGAAGGCGGCUCACUGGCUCGAUACUGACGCUGAGGUGCGAAAGUGUGGGGAGCAAACAGGAUUAGAUACCCCCGUAGUCC
This 424-nucleotide ribosomal RNA is filed under the name uncultured prokaryote. Its description in RNAcentral is "bacterial SSU rRNA". It matches the Rfam family "Bacterial small subunit ribosomal RNA", at positions 355 to 796 of the family's 1533-position model. The record is from RNAcentral.